GAUGAACGCUGACAGAAUGCUUAACACAUGCAAGUCGAUGGGGAAGUGGUGCUUGCACCCUGGUAACCAUGGCGGACGGGUGAGUAACGCGUAAGGAACUUGCCUGCGGGACUGGGAUAACAGCAGGAAACUGCUGAUAAUACCGGAUAAGGUCAUUAAGCUGCAUAGCUUAGUGAUGAAAGGAGACGCCUGCGGAGAGCCUUGCGUCCUAUUAGCUAGUUGGAGGGGUAACGGCCCACCAAGGCGAAGAUAGGUAGCCGGCCUGAGAGGGUGGACGGCCACAAGGGGACUGAGAUACGGCCCUUACUCCUACGGGAGGCAGCAGUGGGGAAUAGUGGACAAUGGGGGCAACCCUGAUCCAGCAAUUCUGUGUGCACGAAGACGGUUUUCGGAUUGUAAAGUGCUUUCAGCAGGGAAGAAGGAGGUGACGGUACCUGCAGAAGAAGCGACGGCUAAAUACGUG
This 463-nucleotide ribosomal RNA is filed under the name uncultured bacterium. RNAcentral describes it as "partial 16S ribosomal RNA". It matches the Rfam family "Bacterial small subunit ribosomal RNA", at positions 28 to 507 of the family's 1533-position model. The record is from RNAcentral.